CUGUAUGUAUACCUACCAUAGGCAUUUACCAAAUCCACUAUCACUAGUCAGUCACUACACAGGAAAAAGGAAAUACAAACAAAAAUAGUGGUCAACACCAACCUACUAAUUUUAUGUUCUGCUAAUUUCACGGUGACGAAUCUGCAAAUGAAGGACACCAAGCAUAUUAUAUGCAGUUAGUGUUGGUAACUACUUUUUGAAAAAACAAGUGAUAUUCAAAUAGUAGAUAAAUUAUACUUCAUACUUUGAAUUAGUAAAAAUCUAUUCAAGAAGGCACCAAAAAGGAGGUGGUGCCAUGUACACAUAGUAUACUGAAAAGAAAGAAAAUAAAAAGUCUUGCCGAAAUAACUAGCCCAAAUUUUGCACUAGACAUAGGCAUGUUCGUACACACUUACAUUUUAUCAAGGAGUGGGCCCAAUGUUGAAUCUUUACAGUCCUCCAGGCACUGGUUCCUCUAGAACAUCAAGCAAAUUGGGGACAUCAAGCAAAUUGGGGUUUGUAAUCUGCUUUACACUGUGCCUCCGUACCUCUUCAGCUAUCAUGAAACUGAACCCAACAGCCUCCACAGACUCAGACGCUCCCUGCAGAAAAACCUAUUAAUUACAACCACACUACAUCCUACAGAACCUCAAAUUACAUACAAAGAAAAUAAAACAAUCACUACAAGAGCAAACCAAUAAGCAAAUCCUAAUCUUCCGCGUGUAGUGACACACAUGAUGCUAGCAUAUAUAUAAAUUAGUAAAACUUCUAAUCAUAUAUGACAGAGAAUAGACCAUCUACUUUAUUUCUUCUCUGCAAAACAUCAACACAUACAAAUUCCACCUCAACAGUCAUACAACACAAAAAACCUAAAACUACCAUUUAAAUCCCACUAGUUAGUCCAAAAUUGGUAUUCCCAUUCCACCAGCUGCAUUGAGAUCAUGUUACAGGAGUACAAUUUUGGCAGUCUGGUGGCACAUUCUCCAUUAACAGAAAAUUUUGUUACAUUUCAAUUCCAAGUAAGAAAGAGACCAGUUGAAUUAAAACAAACAAUAAAAACACACCAAUUUUCAACAAUAAACCCAGAAAUUAAAAUGUCACAAACAGAAAUAGUAAGAAAAAUUAGUAAAAAUUAAAAACAAACAUCAAACGGUCAAGCUGCAAGAAAAUAAACAGAAAAACAAACCUCAAGAUAACCAAUUUCUCUCUCCAACAUCUGGGUACUCUGGCGGCGAUUUAGGACGCGGUGGUGGCAGUGAUGGCACUUUAGAAGUUCCCCUUUUGGCAGCAUACAUAAAAAUAUAAGAAAAGGAGGAGCCGAGGAGGACUCACGGUCGCCCGUCGUCACCGACUUCCGAUUCAGAGUUCGAGUCUUCGAGAUCUGAGAUGAGACGAGAGUAACAGAGUUUGGGAUGAUUCUUGUCACUUGAGAUCUGAGAUGAGAUAUGGGUUUGGGAUGAUUCUUGUCACUUGAGAGUUGAGAGGUACAGAUGAGUUGAGAGGUUCAGAUUGAGAGAAUGAGAGUUUGAGACUUGAGAUGAGACGAGAGUAACAGAGUUGUUCGACUUCAGAGUCGGUCAUUCCGCUAGGGCUAGUAGUACUUUAUUUAAUUUCAACUUUUCACAUCCGCGCCAUUCAUUUAAA
This 1623-nucleotide long non-coding RNA is filed under the name Panax ginseng (ginseng). Its description in RNAcentral is "long non-coding RNA (PGIN_LNC010964)". Lineage: Eukaryota; Viridiplantae; Streptophyta; Magnoliopsida; Apiales; Araliaceae. The record is from RNAcentral.